RNAcentral lists this ribosomal RNA (253 nucleotides) under uncultured bacterium. RNAcentral describes it as "partial 16S ribosomal RNA". It matches the Rfam family "Bacterial small subunit ribosomal RNA", at positions 524 to 776 of the family's 1533-position model. The record is from RNAcentral.
UACAGAGCCCACAACCGUUAUCCGGAUUCAUUGGGCGUAAAGCGUCCGCAGGUGGUGUGUUAAGUCAGUGGUCAAAUCCUUGGGCCUAACCCAGGGACUGCCGUUGAUACUAACACACUCGAGGCUGGAAGAGGCAAGCGGAAUUCUCGGUGUAGUCGUAAUAAGCGCUGAUAUCGAGAAGAACACCAAAGGCGAAGGCAGCUUGCUAGUACAUGCCUGACACUCAUGGACGAAAGCGUGGGGAGCGAAUGGG